UUAAGCGACUAAGCGUACACGGUGGAUGCCCUGGCAGUCAGAGGCGAUGAAGGGCGUGCUAAUCUGCGAUAAGCGCCGGUAAGGUGAUAUGAACCGUUAUAACCGGCGAUACCCGAAUGGGGAAACCCAGUGUGACUCGUCACACUAUCAUUAACUGAAUCCAUAGGUUAAUGAGGCGAACCGGGGGAACUGAAACAUCUAAGUACCCCGAGGAAAAGAAAUCAACCGAGAUUCCCCCAGUAGCGGCGAGCGAACGGGGAGGAGCCCAGAGCCUGAAUCAGCAUGUGUGUUAGUGGAAGCGUCUGGAAAGGCGCGCGAUACAGGGUGACAGCCCCGUACACAAAAGCGCAUGUGCUGUGAGCUCGAUGAGUAGGGCGGGACACGUGGUAUCCUGUCUGAAUAUGGGGGGACCAUCCUCCAAGGCUAAAUACUCCUGACUGACCGAUAGUGAACCAGUACCGUGAGGGAAAGGCGAAAAGAACCCCGGCGAGGGGAGUGAAAAAGAACCUGAAACCGUGUACGUACAAGCAGUGGGAGCACAGGUUUACCUGUGUGACUGCGUACCUUUUGUAUAAUGGGUCAGCGACUUAUAUUCUGUAGCAAGGUUAACCGAAUAGGGGAGCCGGAGGGAAACCGAGUCUUAAUUGGGCGUUAAGUUGCAGGGUAUAGACCCGAAACCCGGUGAUCUAGCCAUGGGCAGGUUGAAGGUUGGGUAACACUAACUGGAGGACCGAACCGACUAAUGUUGAAAAAUUAGCGGAUGACCUGUGGCUGGGGGUGAAAGGCCAAUCAAACCGGGAGAUAGCUGGUUCUCCCCGAAAGCUAUUUAGGUAGCGCCUCGUGAAUUCAUCUCCGGGGGUAGAGCACUGUUUCGGCUAGGGGGCCAUCCCGGCUUACCAACCCGAUGCAAACUGCGAAUACCGGAGAAUGUUAUCACGGGAGACACACGGCGGGUGCUAACGUCCGUCGUGAAGAGGGAAACAACCCAGACCGCCAGCUAAGGUCCCAAAGUCAUGGUUAAGUGGGAAACGAUGUGGGAAGGCCCAGACAGCCAGGAUGUUGGCUUAGAAGCAGCCAUCAUUUAAAGAAAGCGUAAUAGCUCACUGGUCGAGUCGGCCUGCGCGGAAGAUGUAACGGGGCUAAACCAUGCACCGAAGCUGCGGCAGCGAACGUAUCACUUAAAGCGAUUCAGCGGGUUACGAUUGACGGAGCGAAGCGACGUCAAAGCGUAUACAAAGUCGAGUCGGUUUAAGGAUACGUUCGUUGGGUAGGGGAGCGUUCUGUAAGCCUGUGAAGGUGGCCUGUGAGGGUUGCUGGAGGUAUCAGAAGUGCGAAUGCUGACAUAAGUAACGAUAAAGCGGGUGAAAAGCCCGCUCGCCGGAAGACCAAGGGUUCCUGUCCAACGUUAAUCGGGGCAGGGUGAGUCGACCCCUAAGGCGAGGCCGAAAGGCGUAGUCGAUGGGAAACGGGUUAAUAUUCCCGUACUUGGUGUUACUGCGAAGGGGGGACGGAGAAGGCUAUGUUGGCCGGGCGACGGUUGUCCCGGUUUAAGCGUGUAGGUGUGUGUUCCAGGUAAAUCCGGUUCACUUUAACACUGAGGCGUGAUGACGAGGCACUACGGUGCUGAAGCAACAAAUGCCCUGCUUCCAGGAAAAGCCUCUAAGCAUCAGGUAACAUCAAAUCGUACCCCAAACCGACACAGGUGGUCAGGUAGAGAAUACCAAGGCGCUUGAGAGAACUCGGGUGAAGGAACUAGGCAAAAUGGUGCCGUAACUUCGGGAGAAGGCACGCUGACACGUAGGUGAAGUGAUUUACUCACGGAGCUGAAGUCAGUCGAAGAUACCAGCUGGCUGCAACUGUUUAUUAAAAACACAGCACUGUGCAAACACGAAAGUGGACGUAUACGGUGUGACGCCUGCCCGGUGCCGGAAGGUUAAUUGAUGGGGUCAGCGCAAGCGAAGCUCCUGAUCGAAGCCCCGGUAAACGGCGGCCGUAACUAUAACGGUCCUAAGGUAGCGAAAUUCCUUGUCGGGUAAGUUCCGACCUGCACGAAUGGCGUAAUGAUGGCCAGGCUGUCUCCACCCGAGACUCAGUGAAAUUGAACUCGCUGUGAAGAUGCAGUGUACCCGCGGCAAGACGGAAAGACCCCGUGAACCUUUACUAUAGCUUGACACUGAACAUUGAGCCUUGAUGUGUAGGAUAGGUGGGAGGCUUUGAAGUGUGGACGCCAGUCUGCAUGGAGCCGACCUUGAAAUACCACCCUUUAAUGUUUGAUGUUCUAACGUGGACCCGUAAUCCGGGUUGCGGACAGUGUCUGGUGGGUAGUUUGACUGGGGCGGUCUCCUCCUAAAGAGUAACGGAGGAGCACGAAGGUUGGCUAAUCCUGGUCGGACAUCAGGAGGUUAGUGCAAUGGCAUAAGCCAGCUUGACUGCGAGCGUGACGGCGCGAGCAGGUGCGAAAGCAGGUCAUAGUGAUCCGGUGGUUCUGAAUGGAAGGGCCAUCGCUCAACGGAUAAAAGGUACUCCGGGGAUAACAGGCUGAUACCGCCCAAGAGUUCAUAUCGACGGCGGUGUUUGGCACCUCGAUGUCGGCUCAUCACAUCCUGGGGCUGAAGUAGGUCCCAAGGGUAUGGCUGUUCGCCAUUUAAAGUGGUACGCGAGCUGGGUUUAGAACGUCGUGAGACAGUUCGGUCCCUAUCUGCCGUGGGCGCUGGAGAACUGAGGGGGGCUGCUCCUAGUACGAGAGGACCGGAGUGGACGCAUCACUGGUGUUCGGGUUGUCAUGCCAAUGGCACUGCCCGGUAGCUAAAUGCGGAAGAGAUAAGUGCUGAAAGCAUCUAAGCACGAAACUUGCCCCGAGAUGAGUUCUCCCUGAGACUUAGAGUCUCCUGAAGGAACGUUGAAGACGACGACGUUGAUAGGCCGGGUGUGUAAGCGCAGCGAUGCGUUGAGCUAACCGGUACUAAUGAACCGUGAGGCUUAACCUU
Molecule: ribosomal RNA, 2987 nt
Filed under: Salmonella enterica subsp. enterica serovar Derby
Lineage: Bacteria; Pseudomonadati; Pseudomonadota; Gammaproteobacteria; Enterobacterales; Enterobacteriaceae
Description: bacterial LSU rRNA
Rfam family: Bacterial large subunit ribosomal RNA
Source: RNAcentral